GCCUAAUACAUGCAAGUCGAACGGGAUUGAGAGCUUGCUUUCAUGAGAGUGGCGUACGGGUGCAUAACGCGUAUGCAACCUACCUUCAUCAGGGGGAUAGCCCGAAGAAAUUCGGAUUAACACCGCAUAAAAACACAGCUUGGCAUCAAGCAAUGUUCAAAUAUUUAUAGGAUGAAGAUGGGCAUGCGUGUCAUUAGCUAGUUGGUAAGGUAACGGCUUACCAAGGCUACGAUGACUAGGGGAUCUGAGAGGAUGACCCCCCACACUGGUACUGAGACACGGACCAGACUCCUACGGGAGGCAGCAGUAAGGAAUAUUGGUCAAUGGAGGCAACUCUGAACCAGCCAUGCCGCGUGCAGGAAGACUGCCUUAUGGGUUGUAAACUGCUUUUAUACGGGAAUAAACCUUAAUUCGUGAAUUAAGCUGAAUGUACCGUAAGAAUAAGGAUCGGCUAACUCCGUGCCAGCAGCCGCGGUAAUACGGAGGAUCCAAGCGUUAUCCGGAUUUAUUGGGUUUAAAGGGAGCGUAGGCGGCUUGUUAAGUCAGGGGUGAAAGACGGUGGCUCAACCAUCGCAGUGCCUUUGAUACUGACGAGCUUGAAUAUAGUUGAGGUAGGCGGAAUGUGACAAGUAGCGGUGAAAUGCAUAGAUAUGUCACAGAACACCGAUUGCGAAGGCAGCUUACUAAGCUAUUAUUGACGCUGAGGCUCGAAAGCGUGGGGAUCAAACAGGAUUAGAUACCCUGGUAGUCCACGCCCUAAACGAUGAUAACUCGAUGUUGGCGAUAUACAGUCAGCGUCCAAGCGAAAGCGUUAAGUUAUCCACCUGGGGAGUACGCCCGCAAGGGUGAAACUCAAAGGAAUUGACGGGGUCCGCACAAGCGG
Molecule: ribosomal RNA, 883 nt
Filed under: uncultured bacterium
Lineage: Bacteria
Description: bacterial SSU rRNA
Rfam family: Bacterial small subunit ribosomal RNA
Source: RNAcentral